UACGGAGGGAGCUAGCGUUGUUCGGAAUUACUGGGCGUAAAGCGCACGUAGGCGGCUUUGUAAGUUAGAGGUGAAAGCCCGGGGCUCAACCCCGGAACUGCCUUUAAGACUGCAUCGCUUGAAUCCGGGAGAGGUGAGUGGAAUUCCGAGUGUAGAGGUGAAAUUCGUAGAUAUUCGGAAGAACACCAGUGGCGAAGGCGGCUUGCCAGAACGCGCUCGACGGUGAGGGAUGAAAGCUGGGGGAGCAAACCGG
This 253-nucleotide ribosomal RNA is filed under the name uncultured prokaryote. Its description in RNAcentral is "partial 16S ribosomal RNA". It matches the Rfam family "Bacterial small subunit ribosomal RNA", at positions 524 to 776 of the family's 1533-position model. The record is from RNAcentral.